Molecule: ribosomal RNA, 497 nt
Filed under: uncultured bacterium
Lineage: Bacteria
Description: partial 16S ribosomal RNA
Rfam family: Bacterial small subunit ribosomal RNA
Source: RNAcentral
GAUGAACGCUGGCGGCGUGCCUAAUACAUGCGAGUCGAGCGAACAGACGAGGAGCUUGCUCCUUCGACGUUAGCGGCGGACGGGUGAGUAACACGUAGGUAACCUACCCAUAAGACUGGGAUAACUUCGGGAAACCGGAGCUAAUACCGGAUAAUAUUUCGAACCGCAUGGUUCGAUAGUGAAAGAUGGCUUUGCUAUCACUUAUAGAUGGACCUGCGCCGUAUUAGCUAGUUGGUAAGGUAACGGCUUACCAAGGCAACGAUACGUAGCCGACCUGAGAGGGUGAUCGGCCACACUGGAACUGAGACACGGUCCAGACUCCUACGGGAGGCAGCAGUAGGGAAUCUUCCGCAAUGGGCGAAAGCCUGACGGAGCAACGCCGCGUGAGUGAUGAAGGUCUUCGGAUCGUAAAACUCUGUUAUUAGGGAAGAACAAACGUGUAAGUAACUGUGCACGUCUUGACGGUACCUAAUCAGAAAGCCACGGCUAACUACGUG